This 253-nucleotide ribosomal RNA is filed under the name uncultured bacterium. RNAcentral's name for it is "partial 16S ribosomal RNA". It matches the Rfam family "Bacterial small subunit ribosomal RNA", at positions 524 to 776 of the family's 1533-position model. The record is from RNAcentral.
UACGUAGGGUGCAAGCGUUAAUCGGAAUUACUGGGCGUAAAGCGUGCGCAGGCGGUUGUGCAAGACAGAGGUGAAAUCCCCGGGCUUAACCUGGGAAUGGCCUUUGUGACUGCACGGCUAGAGUGUGUCAGAGGGGGGUAGAAUUCCACGUGUAGCAGUGAAAUGCGUAGAGAUGUGGAGGAAUACCGAUGGCGAAGGCAGCCCCCUGGGAUAACACUGACGCUUAGGCACGAAAGCGUGGGGAGCAAACAGG